UUGGCUCUGUUUGCGGUCACAGCUUCUAAUAUCAUCUUCUUUUUUCUCUGCUCUGCAUUUUUGGCAAAUUGGCUGCAGUGCAGGCAGUUAUUAAGAAGACCUUUGCUAUUCAUAGUUACAAGUGAGGAUUGAAAAGACAGACAUGAGGCUCAUAGUUAAAAUUAAAUGAAAUUAGUAAACUUUGAUUUAGUGGAAAUACCAGCAAGAGAAGAUAAUAAAGAAUUAGAAGUGUUGGUGGAAGAAAUUUAAGAAGUUUGUGGCAUUAAUUGUGUUUUGACUUUGGGCACUGUGAACGUGUAUGUUUGUGCAAUAUUCAGUAAAGAAGUUUUUGUGACACAAAAUCUCGACAGCAAUCUGCGAAUUCCAUUACCAUACACAACAAGGCCCUUUUGCUUCACUUGAAUACGGCAGGAGAAAAGGCCGACAGUUGGUGUGAUUAGAGUGUCAAAUCCCGCCAGUGAUUAUUAAACCGUUGACAAGUGCUGCCCUCCACAGAGGUUAUUGUACAGGAGUGGUGUGAGGGGUGUUCGUUUCUUUUGGUUAACGGUCACGAAGAGGAAUCCAAUCGCUGACGGAAGACAAAGAUCUUGUUUUUUUGGUUGUCAAAUGCUUUGGUGCCGAGUGUCUUAAGCAAUUACAACGGUGUUACCAGACGGUUUCUAGAAAACCUGGAAAUUUUUAUUUGUCGAGAGAAUACACGGGACAAAUUAAAAACAAUAUUUUGGAGAUAUUUUGUUGAAAAUGAAUACCCAAAUGUAUUUAACCACAUAGAACGAAAAAGAUGUUAAUUUGAAAGUGCGAAUUACUUCCAAGGAAGCCUUUUAAUUUCAUUGUUUGUUGGAUCAUAGUCAGAUAACAAAAACAAAGCAUUGUUUCCAUUGCACCAGCGCCUGCAUUUUGUGCUGGUAUUCAAAGGCACUAAAGUUUUUUUCUCAAUUCUUUAUUUAUAUUGCUUUGUCAUAUUUGGAGGCAAGAGGUUUGAGUGAGUUCUUAAGGAAAAUUAUUGGCAUUAGGAUUUGUGGAGGCUUGAUAGGAACCAGGAGACUAAGACAAGAUAUAAACAACGAUUGGAUCAUUUCGACACUGUGGAUAGUGUUACCGUCAAUUUUAUCACAUCAAGGCAUACGUUCAAGAGCAUCACUAACACCACCAUCAUAAUUGUGAGGAAGAUUACUGGCUUAGAUAGAACGAUAGCCAUUUACAUUACACAUAGUGGCAGGAGGCUGGUGAGUCUUUUUUUCUCUUUUGUUUAUUUGGGGAAACGUAUACACUCUAUCGUAAAAGCGAUACCAUUUAUUGCAAUAGUAUCGUAUGUUGUUACUUGCAAAUAAUACAGUAGGACACACCUGUACAAACUAUCUCGGACAAAUUACGCCCGAAUACAUUGAAGUUUUGCAUGAUAUUUUUAAAUUCUUACAAUAACAAGACAAUGGAGCUCGACUAGAGAAGUUGUCGUAACUGGAAACCAUUUUUUAAUGAAAAAAGAUAAAUUUGUUAAGCUGUAUGAUGACAUAUUAAAUUAAUUAGUUAUCAAAUCGAAUAUAUAUAUACAUUGAAUAUACUUGAAUAAAUUGUGCCCAGCACAAAUAUA
Stomoxys calcitrans (stable fly) is the source of this 1591-nucleotide long non-coding RNA. RefSeq lists it as uncharacterized. NCBI's taxonomy places the organism in Eukaryota, Metazoa, Arthropoda, Insecta, Diptera, Muscidae. The record is from RefSeq and is a predicted model, not a curated record. The transcript is spliced from 3 exons.